AUCCAGCUGACGAGUCCCAAAUAUGAUGAAACGCACGUCCUGGAU
Molecule: non-coding RNA, 45 nt
Filed under: Schistosoma mansoni
Lineage: Eukaryota; Metazoa; Platyhelminthes; Trematoda; Strigeidida; Schistosomatidae
Source: RNAcentral